This 468-nucleotide ribosomal RNA is filed under the name uncultured bacterium. Its description in RNAcentral is "partial 16S ribosomal RNA". It matches the Rfam family "Bacterial small subunit ribosomal RNA", at positions 28 to 507 of the family's 1533-position model. The record is from RNAcentral.
GACGAACGCUGGCGGCGUGCUUAACACAUGCAAGUCGAACGGAAAGGCCCUGCUUUUGUGGGGUGCUCGAGUGGCGAACGGGUGAGUAACACGUGAGUAACCUGCCCUUGACUUUGGGAUAACCUCAGGAAACUGGGGCUAAUACCGGAUAGGAGCUCCUGCUGCAUGGGGGGGGUUGGAAAGUUUCGGCGGUUGGGGAUGGACUCGCGGCUUAUCAGCUUGUUGGUGGGGUAGGGGCUUACCAAGGCUUUGACGGGUAGCCGGCCUGAGAGGGUGACCGGCCACAUUGGGCCUGAGAUACGGCCCAGACUCCUACGGGAGGCAGCAGUGGGGAAUAUUGCACAAUGGGCGGAAGCCUGAUGCAGCAACGCCGCGUGCGGGAUGACGGCCUUCGGGUUGUAAACCGCUUUCGCCUGUGACGAAGCGUGAGUGACGGUAAUGGGUAAAGAAGCACCGGCUAACUACGUG